RNAcentral lists this ribosomal RNA (253 nucleotides) under uncultured bacterium. RNAcentral describes it as "partial 16S ribosomal RNA". It matches the Rfam family "Bacterial small subunit ribosomal RNA", at positions 524 to 776 of the family's 1533-position model. The record is from RNAcentral.
UACGAAGGUGGCAAGCGUUGUUCGGAUUUACUGGGCGUACAGGGAGCGUAGGCGGUUGGGUAAGCCCUCCGUGAAAUCUCCGGGCCUAACCCGGAAAGUGCGGAGGGGACUGCUCGGCUAGAGGAUGGGAGAGGAGCGCGGAAUUCCCGGUGUAGCGGUGAAAUGCGUAGAGAUCGGGAGGAACACCAGUGGCGAAGGCGGCUUGCUGGGCCGGACCUGACGCUGAGGCGCGAAAGCUAGGGGAGCAAACGGG